GGAGGUGAGAGGGAAUCUGGUUGCAUUAUCUGUCACACCAUUGAUCACCAAGGUUGAUUUAGCCAGUCUGCUUGGUGAGGUGGGUGUUCCCUUUUUCCCUCACCAUUUCUGUGUUCUUCUUUCUUGAAGCUGUGUACUUGGUUGACAAGCACACCUUUCCUCGUCUUUCCUGGUCAAGAAUCUGUGAAUAGCUAUGCUAAAGGCACCAAACAAACUCUCAAUGCCAGAUGAUACCUUUGCUGGCGUUUGGCACUGUGUGUGUGUGCACGCACGCAUGUGUGUAUUACUAGAGAUUGAAUCCAGGGGUGCUCUACAAUGAGGCAGAAGCCUUUCU
This 334-nucleotide small nuclear RNA is filed under the name Cavia porcellus (domestic guinea pig). Its description in RNAcentral is "7SK RNA". It matches the Rfam family "7SK RNA". Rfam says of the family: 7SK was discovered as an abundant small nuclear RNA in the mid-70s but a possible function has only recently been suggested. Two independent studies have found that 7SK RNA binds the CDK9/cyclin T complex (known as elongation factor P-TEFb). Lineage: Eukaryota; Metazoa; Chordata; Mammalia; Rodentia; Caviidae. The record is from Rfam by way of RNAcentral.